UACGUAGGGGGGCAAGCUUGUCCGGAAUUACUGGGCGUAAAGCGCGCGUAGGCGGCCCGGUAAGUCCGCUGUGAAAGUCCAGGGCUCAACCCCUGGAAAGCCGGUGGAUACUGCCGGGCUAGAGUCCGGAAGAGGCGAGUGGAAUCCUGGUGUAGCGGUGGAAUGCGCAGAUAUCAGGAGGAACACCGAUGGCGAAGGCAGCUCGCUGGGACGGUACUGACGCUGAGGCGCGAAGCGUGGGGAGCGAACAGG
Molecule: ribosomal RNA, 252 nt
Filed under: uncultured bacterium
Lineage: Bacteria
Description: partial 16S ribosomal RNA
Rfam family: Bacterial small subunit ribosomal RNA
Source: RNAcentral